RNAcentral lists this ribosomal RNA (191 nucleotides) under uncultured Desulfocapsa sp. RNAcentral's name for it is "partial 16S ribosomal RNA". It matches the Rfam family "Bacterial small subunit ribosomal RNA", at positions 1192 to 1382 of the family's 1533-position model. The record is from RNAcentral. Lineage: Bacteria; Pseudomonadati; Thermodesulfobacteriota; Desulfobulbia; Desulfobulbales; Desulfocapsaceae.
CUCAUGCCCUUUAUGACCAGGGCUACACACGUACUACAAUGGCCGGUACAAAGGGCAGCGACACAGCGAUGUGAAGCCAAUCCCGAAAAGCCGGUCUCAGUCCGGAUUGGAGUCUGCAACUCGACUCCAUGAAGUUGGAAUCGCUAGUAAUCGCGGAUCAGCACGCCGCGGUGAAUACGUUCCCGGGCCUU